Molecule: ribosomal RNA, 255 nt
Filed under: uncultured bacterium
Lineage: Bacteria
Description: partial 16S ribosomal RNA
Rfam family: Bacterial small subunit ribosomal RNA
Source: RNAcentral
CGGACGGGUGAGUAACGCGUGGAAAACCUGCCGUAUACUGGGGGAUAACACUUAGAAAUAGGUGCUAAUACCGCAUAAGCGCACAGCUUCGCAUGAAGCGGUGUGAAAAACUCUGGUGGUCUACGAUGGUUCCGCGUCUGAUUAGCUAGUUGGUGGGGUAAUGGCCUACCAAGGCAACGAUCAGUAGCCGGCCUGAGAGGGUGAACGGCCACAUUGGGACUGAGACACGGCCCAAACUCCUACGGGAGGCAGCAG